RNAcentral lists this ribosomal RNA (297 nucleotides) under uncultured bacterium. Its description in RNAcentral is "partial 16S ribosomal RNA". It matches the Rfam family "Bacterial small subunit ribosomal RNA", at positions 28 to 321 of the family's 1533-position model. The record is from RNAcentral.
GAUGAACGCUAGCGGCAGGCUUAAUACAUGCAAGUCGAACGGUAAGCUUGGUAGCAAUACUAAGUCAAGAGUGACGUACGGGUGCGUAACACGUAUGCAACCUACCUUGUACAGGAGGAUAGCUCGGGGAAACUCGAAUUAACCCUCCAUGAGAUAGUAGUGAGGCAUCUCACAGUUAUUAAAACUCAGGUGGUACAAGAUGGGCAUGCGUCUGAUUAGAGUUGGGCGGGGUAAUGGCCCACCAAGACGAUGAUCAGUAGGGGACCUGAGGAGGGUGACUCCCCCACACUGGCGACU